AGCGAACGCUGGCGGCAUGCCUAACACAUGCAAGUCGAACGAGACCUUCGGGUAUAGUGGCGCACGGGUGCGUAACGCGUGGGAACCUGCCCUUAGGUUCGGAAUAACUCCCCGAAAGGGGUGCUAAUACCGGAUAAUGUCUUCGGACCAAAGAUUUAUCGCCUUUGGAUGGGCCCGCGUUGGAUUAGCUAGUUGGUAGGGUAAAAGCCUACCAAGGCGACGAUCCAUAGCUGGUCUGAGAGGAUGAUCAGCCACACUGGGACUGAGACACGGCCCAGACUCCUGCGGGAGGCAGCAGUGGGGAAUAUUGGACAAUGGGCGAAAGCCUGAUCCAGCAAUGCCGCGUGAGUGAUGAAGGCCUUAGGGUUGUAAAGCUCUUUUACCCGGGAUGAUAAUGACAGUACCGGGAGAAUAAGCUCCGGCUAACUCCGUG
RNAcentral lists this ribosomal RNA (433 nucleotides) under uncultured bacterium. RNAcentral describes it as "partial 16S ribosomal RNA". It matches the Rfam family "Bacterial small subunit ribosomal RNA", at positions 29 to 507 of the family's 1533-position model. The record is from RNAcentral.